This is a non-coding RNA of Labrus bergylta (ballan wrasse), 3574 nucleotides long. The record is from RefSeq and is a predicted model, not a curated record. NCBI's taxonomy places the organism in Eukaryota, Metazoa, Chordata, Actinopteri, Labriformes, Labridae.
CAUCAGGGGUCUCAGCCCUGUCCCUGGUUUUUCAGGUCAGGCUGCAUUCAACUACAACCAGCUGGAAGGAAGGUUUAAACAGCUUCAAGGAUAUGGAAAGGCGCAAAUCCUAGGAGCAGGAAAAGGACUUUGAAUCGUACUUUGACUCAAUGUGUUGGGUGUAGAGAAGCAUUUCUGAAUGAUCAGCUUCUCUCUGUUGCUCUGAGCUAGUUUUAAUAAUGAAUGGAGACUCGCUCCUUUUCACAAGUGCUCAGAAUCUCUGUGUGGGAUCAUUAUCCACUGGACCUUGCACCUGAUCAAAGAUAAAGCCGAAAAACUUUCAAUUGAACUUUCUUUGAAUAUCCUGAAUGAAGUCACACAAAUACAACUUAGAAGAAUGAAUACACAAGGACGUGGGCUUUUCUCUUUGUAUGAACUGUACCUUUCAAAUUGUUAAUAAAUUGACUUCAUACAAGUUCAGAUUACAGUUGCUAGCAGUAAAUAUUCAGACAUUACCCUCUAUCCCAACUUCUGGUUGCUCCAUAUUUGUGUGACGAAAAUUGACUGCUUGAUUGAUUGAGAGACUUCUGCAUUUUGAGAAUAACUUCUAUAACAAACUUCUGAAACUGACACUAAGACAUAUUCUAUAAUAAAUAGAGGAAAUGGAGGGUUUUCGUCAUCAGUGUAAGGUUUGAUGCCGGGACUUUUAUGAAGGACAAACCCUUGAGUGUAAAUUUAUGGUCAGGCUGAAUUUAGCUGAAGGUUAAUGGAGCCGGUUUACUGUUUGCAGCCUCAUCGAUAUUUUGAUUCCCAGAAUCCUUCAGCGAUGUCCCUAGUUUCUAAAAGUGUCUCUCUGGCUCGAGGCCAGGCGAAUGUGGUAGGCUUUAAUUUUUGUGGCUGUCAAUACCUCAGAUAUUUUCAUAUCCUCUUUUUUUCAUAUAUUUUCAUGUCCUGUUCCCUUCAUUUUUAAGGAUUUUAAGUCCUAGGUUCUCUAAAAAGAGAAUUUAGGAAAUGCAAAACUUUGGAAUAAUCCUUUAUUCUCUGAUUCAUCAUGCAGAAUAGUUAAAUGCUCACAAAAAGUCUGUGAUGUUUGAUAGAAGCCCUUGCGAGUUUUGACUUUGGUUUGUGUGUUGUUUGGAGAUGGGCGGGUUAUCUAAUGUGUUAUCUUUAAUGAUCAUAAAGUAAUCUGUUUUAUAGCUCGGGUGUAGGUGUGUGUAGUGUUGAUGUGUAGUGCUAGAAAAUCGCCUUAAGUACAAACUGUAUAGAAAGAUAGGAGGAAGAAAAAAGGUCUUCAUAAAGUCAUGACUGCAGCACUGUGUUGUAAUUCUUAGGUAUGAAACUCAUUUUUGCUGCUAAAUUAGCGAGAUGUAGCUUCAGAUUUAAACUUGCAAAGUGAAUCAUUGACAGUUGUCACUUAAAUGGACACGUUGUAAUUAGUAUUUGGACUAUAACAGGAUCUCAUCUGACUGUUUAUUUUUAGAAGAUUCACAUGACAUGUUGGUCCGCUAUGUAAACUUGUUACUAUUGGACUCAAUGAAAAGGCCAAAGAGAUAACAGCUAUAGUUUUAUAUUGAGGUGUAGAAGAAAAACAUGUUAUUUUUAUGAAGUCACAGAUGCCAUAAAAUAUUUGUUUUGCCAACACACAAGUUACCAAGAAUCAUUCCUGGAUGAAUGAUCCAAUAAGAAAGAAGUUGACGUAUUUGGUUAGUACUAUAACAUUACCCAGACUUUAGCAUAAGUGUAGCAUAGCUUUAAACACAACAUACAGCUUUACAAAACAGUACAUAAUUACUUUAACCAUAGGAAAGAUUUGUAUUUUUAGUGAAUGUUUAAAUCUAGAACAAUUCAUUUUAGGGUUCAUUUAGGGUUUUCUAUUUGCCCUUACAGAUUGUUUGGCAUUAAGUGUUUUUCUCUUUUGAUUUAGAGACAAAAGUGCCAACUUUGGACAAACACGUCUUAAUAAACCCUUAUUCCCUCAAGGCUUUUACUUCUCAGAGUUGCUAGCCGCCAGACACAACUAGUUCUGGGAGGGUGUUUAUGAGGAUAUCAUUUCAUGCCCCUGUAUCAUGUGGCUCAGGUGGUUCAGAGCAGCCACUCGUAACCUAAACGACUGUUGGUUCAAUUCCCAGUGGGGAGAUGAAUUUGGACGCAGUCAGUGAUUAUUGCACUGCAAAGAGCUUCAGAUGUGAGAGGGCGGAGACAGAAAAAGAAUGGAGCAGCACUUCCUUCUCGUUAGGAACGAGUAUUGAGUGACUGUCCCCCGUUUGAAAUCAGGCAAUUACAGAGGAAGCAAGUCAUCAAAUUACCUCCAGAAGAGACUCAUGGGAGACUUUUAUACAGAAAAGACUGAAUGACGAGAUAAAACUGUCAGAAUAACAGCCAUGGAGGGUUGUCUGUGAUUUGUUUUCCCCAAUAAUUGCUAAAUUGUCUUUUACUGACUUUGUUGUUGCACAAAACACACUAAAUUCUCAAAGGAACUUCUUUAGGACCUGAUAUGAUAGAAAACAAAGCCUGCUGACCAUUGUGAUGGUGUACUUUACUUUGUAGUUUAUUCAUAUUGAGGGAUUGAAAAACAUAACUGUGUAGUGUUUGGAAUAACUCGUCUGAAAUCACUCCACAGCAACAAUCAAUCUUUAGAAAGAUAACUAGGGACAGAGACACAUGGAUGGAUAGAUGGAUGGAUAGAUGGAUGGAUUGGUUGACGGACAGAUGGAUCACCAUUAAGAUGACUGACACAUAAGUAAAGGAUAUAGAUGGAUGGUGUACAUAUGGAUCAAUAGAUUAACAUUAAAUGGAUGUAAAGGUUUAUUAAUGACUGUCAAAGAGAUAGAUUGAUGGAAAAAUAGACAAAUUACAUGAUAGAGGGAUUGAUAGAAAGACAGAUGAAUGAUAAAUGGAUGAUAGGCAAAUUAAAAGAUUUAGAGAGUUUUGAAUAAAGUAAAUGGAUAUAUGACAUAUUUGUAGGUAGUAUGUUAAAUGAUGGAUAGCAAGUUGGAAAGGCUGUGGAGUCACUGGUUUUGGUUUUGGAUCAUGAUCAAAAUUUGUACAAUUAUUUUAAGAUAUACAUUUAAUUACAUCCAGAUUUGCAUGUUUGAAACAUACAUGAAAAACCAGCUUGUUUUUCCUUAAACGUCCUUAUUGUACAAAAGUUUUAAUAUUCUGCUGUAUGUCUACUGAUGUAAACAAAUAUUUAUCAGACUCAUCAAAGCUAAUAUUCAGUGUCUGUUUUGGUCUUUCCUUUUGAUAGGAGCUUCCAGUCCUUUGUUUUGAAAUGCAUUGUGGGCGGAGCUUCAACCCUUUAACAUUCAUAUUAUAGAAUAUGACAGUUAAGACUGUAAAACACUGAUAAAUCAAUGAUUGAUUGACAGUUAAAGCACGCUAACCGUCAUGUGAGAUCAAAUCACAUGAAACACACACAUAACUAAAACACACAGCCAAGCUUUCAAUACAAAACCACCAUCCCUCUGUGCUCCCAUCAUCCCCCUCUUUUCCUGUGCUCUCCUGAUCCAGCCAAUCAGCAGCCGUCUUGGUGGUUUGGGAGCCCCUGAGCGCUGUGUGUGUCGAGUGUGUGUGUGUGUGUGUGUGUGUGUGUGUG